RNAcentral lists this ribosomal RNA (274 nucleotides) under uncultured bacterium. Its description in RNAcentral is "partial 16S ribosomal RNA". It matches the Rfam family "Bacterial small subunit ribosomal RNA", at positions 523 to 796 of the family's 1533-position model. The record is from RNAcentral.
AUACGGAGGGGGCUAGCGUUGUUCGGAAUUACUGGGCGUAAAGCGCGCGUAGGCGGCCUGCCAAGUUGGGGGUGAAAGCCCGGGGCUCAACCCCGGAACUGCCCUCAAAACUGGCAAGCUAGAGCCCGGGAGAGGUGAGUGGAAUUCCCAGUGUAGAGGUGAAAUUCGUAGAUAUUGGGAAGAACACCAGCGGCGAAGGCGGCUCACUGGACCGGUACUGACGCUGAGGUGCGAAAGCGUGGGGAGCAAACAGGAUUAGAAACCCCGGUAGUCC